AUGAACCUUUUUACUAGUAGAUCUUUCGGUGUGCCACUGAGAAUAAUUAACCAUAAUAUUAUCGAGGCGCUGGGCGACAAGAACGGCUCGAGCAAGGCCGCCAUCUCCAGCUACAUCGAGGAGAAGUACGAGGGCCUCCCCUCGGCGCACGCCUCCCUCCUCACGGCCAACCUCGCCAGCAUGAAGGAGGCCGGCAAGCUCGCCUUCGUCAAGAACAACUACCUCAAGGCUGACGCUCCCUCCGCCACCCCGGCAAAGCGCGGCCGCGGCCGCCCGCCCAAGCCGAAGGCGGCGCCCAAGGACCCCAACACGCCCAAGCGCGGCCGGGGCCGCCCGCCCAAGGCUAAGGAUCCCAUGGCCGACGCCGUCAAGGAUGCCGUCGCCAAGGCGACCACCGGCAUGCCCCAGGGCCGCGGCCGCCCGCCGGGUCCCUCCUCGGCCAAGAAGGCCAAGGUCGCAUAA
This 462-nucleotide ribosomal RNA is filed under the name Triticum aestivum (bread wheat). Its description in RNAcentral is "partial small subunit ribosomal RNA". The record is from RNAcentral. Lineage: Eukaryota; Viridiplantae; Streptophyta; Magnoliopsida; Poales; Poaceae.